AACAUACUCCCUCCGUUCCGAAUUACUUGUCUUGGAUUUGUCUAGAUACGGAUGUAUCUAAUGAGUCUAGAUACAUCCGUAUCUAGACAAAUCCAAGACAAGUAAUUCGGAACAGAAGGAGUACCAU
Triticum urartu is the source of this 127-nucleotide non-coding RNA. Lineage: Eukaryota; Viridiplantae; Streptophyta; Magnoliopsida; Poales; Poaceae. The record is from Rfam.